UGUUGCUAUCAAGAACUGCAUAUUGCUCACGGAUUUCAGCCAUGAUCUUUGUCAGGUCUUCCUGUGGUGCCGCGUCUACCUCUAC
Sinocyclocheilus anshuiensis is the source of this 85-nucleotide long non-coding RNA. RefSeq lists it as uncharacterized. The record is from RefSeq and is a predicted model, not a curated record. The transcript is spliced from 4 exons. NCBI's taxonomy places the organism in Eukaryota, Metazoa, Chordata, Actinopteri, Cypriniformes, Cyprinidae.